This 253-nucleotide ribosomal RNA is filed under the name uncultured bacterium. Its description in RNAcentral is "partial 16S ribosomal RNA". It matches the Rfam family "Bacterial small subunit ribosomal RNA", at positions 524 to 776 of the family's 1533-position model. The record is from RNAcentral.
UACAGAGGGGGCAAGCGUUAUUCGGAAUUAUUGGGCGUAAAGGGCGCGUAGGCGGCCUGGCAAGUGAAAGGUGAAAUCCCUCGGCUUAACCGAGGAACUGCCUUUCAGACUGCUUGGCUUGAGACCGGGAGAGGUGAGUGGAAUUCCCAGUGUAGCGGUGAAAUGCGUAGAUAUUGGGAGGAACACCAGUGGAGAAGGCGGCUCACUGGACCGGUACUGACGCUGAUGCGCGAAAGCGUGGGGAGCAAACGGG